CAAGUUUUUAAGGGCGCACGGUGGAUGCCUUGGCACCAGGAACCGAUGAAGGACGUGGGAGGCCACGAUAGUCCCCGGGGAGUCGUCAACCAGGCUUUGAUCCGGGGGUUUCCGAAUGGGGAAACCCGGCAGUCGUCAUGGGCUGUCACCCGCUGCUGAACACAUAGGCAGUGUGGAGGGAACGCGGGGAAGUGAAACAUCUCAGUACCCGCAGGAAGAGAAAACAACCGUGAUUCCGGGAGUAGUGGCGAGCGAAACCGGAUGAGGCCAAACCGUAUGUGUGUGAGACCCGGCAGGGGUUGCGCAUGCGGGGUUGUGGGAUCUCUCUUCUACGGUCUGCCGGCCGUGGGGCGAGUUAGAAACCGUUGAUGUAGGCGAAGGACAUGCGAAAGGUCCGGCGUAGAGGGUAAGACCCCCGUAGUCGAAAUGUCAGCNNNNNNNNNNNNNNNNNNNNNNNNNNGGCUUGCUUGAGAGACACCCAAGUAGCACGGGGCCCGAGAAAUCCCGUGUGAAUCUGGCGGGACCACCCGCUAAGCCUAAAUAUUCCCUGGUGACCGAUAGCGGAUAGUACCGUGAGGGAAUGGUGAAAAGUACCCCGGGAGGGGAGUGAAAUAGUACCUGAAACCGUGUGCCUACAAGCCGUGGGAGCGUCGGACAUCAGCUUGCUGGUGUCUCGUGACUGCGUGCCUUUUGAAGAAUGAGCCUGCGAGUUUGCGGUGUGUUGCGAGGUUAACCCGGGUGGGGUAGCCGUAGCGAAAGCGAGUCCGAACAGGGCGGUUCAGUAGCACGCUCAAGACCCGAAGCGGAGUGAUCUAGCCAUGGGCAGGUUGAAGCGGAGGUAAGACUUCGUGGAGGACCGAACCCACCAGGGUUGAAAACCUGGGGGAUGACCUGUGGUUAGGGGUGAAAGGCCAAUCAAACUCCGUGAUAGCUGGUUCUCCCCGAAAUGCAUUUAGGUGCAGCGUCGUGUGUUUCUUGCCGGAGGUAGAGCACUGGAUAGGCGAUGGGCCCUACCGGGUUACUGACCUUAGCCAAACUCCGAAUGCCGGUAAGUGAGAGCGCGGCAGUGAGACUGUGGGGGAUAAGCUCCAUGGUCGAGAGGGAAACAGCCCAGAGCAUCGACUAAGGCCCCUAAGCGUACGCUAAGUGGGAAAGGAUGUGGAGUCGCAGAGACAACCAGGAGGUUGGCUUAGAAGCAGCCACCCUUGAAAGAGUGCGUAAUAGCUCACUGGUCUAGUGAUUCCGCGCCGACAAUGUAGCGGGGCUCAAGCGUACCGCCGAAGUCGUGUCAUUGCAGCAGAAGCCCCAACGGGUGCUGUGAUGGGUAGGGGAGCGUCGUCUGCCGGGUGAAGCGGCACUGGAAGGUAGUCGUGGACGGUUGACGAGUGAGAAUGCAGGCAUGAGUAGCGAUUCACACGUGAGAAACGUGUGCGCCGAUUGACUAAGGGUUCCUGGGUCAAGCUGAUCUGCCCAGGGUAAGUCGGGACCUAAGGCGAGGCCGACAGGCGUAGUCGAUGGAUAACCGGUUGAUAUUCCGGUACCCGCUGUGAAGCGUCAAACAUCGAAUCCAGUGAUGCUAAGCCCGUGAAGCCGCCGGCUGAGUCUUCGGACGAGGUCGGAGUGGUGGAGCCGGUGACCCGAGCUGGUAGUAGGUGAGUGAUGGGGUGACGCAGGAAGGUAGUCCAUCCCGGGCGGUGGUUGUCCCGGGGUAAGGGUGUAGGACGGUGUGUAGGCAAAUCCGCACACCUUGUGUCUGAGACCUGAUGCCGAGCCGAUUGUGGUGAAGUGGAUGAUCCUAUGCUGUCGAGAAAAGCCUCUAGCG
This 1822-nucleotide ribosomal RNA is filed under the name Streptomyces anandii JCM 4720. RNAcentral's name for it is "23S ribosomal RNA". It matches the Rfam family "Bacterial large subunit ribosomal RNA", at positions 4 to 1627 of the family's 2925-position model. The record is from RNAcentral. Lineage: Bacteria; Bacillati; Actinomycetota; Actinomycetes; Kitasatosporales; Streptomycetaceae.